CUCGCCGGCGACCGGCGCACGGGUGAGUAACACGUAUGAAACCUGCCCGUAGCAGGGGGAUAAGCGGAAGAAAUUCCGUCUAAUACCGCGUAACAACCCGAGGAGGCAUCUCCUCGGGUUUAAAGGAAGCGAUUCCGGCUACGGAUGGUCAUGCGUCGCAUUAGCUAGUUGGCGGGGUAACGGCCCACCAAGGCGACGAUGCGUAGGGGUUCUGAGAGGAAGGUCCCCCACACUGGUACUGAGACACGGACCAGACUCCUACGGAAGGCAGCAG
RNAcentral lists this ribosomal RNA (274 nucleotides) under uncultured bacterium. RNAcentral's name for it is "partial 16S ribosomal RNA". It matches the Rfam family "Bacterial small subunit ribosomal RNA", at positions 84 to 354 of the family's 1533-position model. The record is from RNAcentral.